UACGUAGGGGGCAAGCGUUGUCCGGAAUCAUUGGGCGUAAAGCGCGUGUAGGCGGCCUGAUCAGUCUGCUGUGAAAGUCCAGGGCUCAACCCUGGGAUGCCGGUGGAUACUGUCAGGCUGGAGUGCGGGAGAGGCGAGUGGAAUUCCUGGUGUAGCGGUGAAAUGCGCAGAUAUCAGGAGGAACACCAAUUGCGAAGGCAGCUCGCUGGAACGUUACUGACGCUGAGACGCGAAAGCGUGGGGAGCAAACAGG
This 253-nucleotide ribosomal RNA is filed under the name uncultured bacterium. Its description in RNAcentral is "partial 16S ribosomal RNA". It matches the Rfam family "Bacterial small subunit ribosomal RNA", at positions 524 to 776 of the family's 1533-position model. The record is from RNAcentral.